This 213-nucleotide ribosomal RNA is filed under the name Escherichia coli. RNAcentral describes it as "partial 23S ribosomal RNA". It matches the Rfam family "Bacterial large subunit ribosomal RNA", at positions 1134 to 1345 of the family's 2925-position model. Lineage: Bacteria; Pseudomonadati; Pseudomonadota; Gammaproteobacteria; Enterobacterales; Enterobacteriaceae. The record is from RNAcentral.
GUAAUAGCUAACUGGUCGAGUCGGCCUGCGCGGAAGAUGUAACGGGGCUAAACCAUGCACCGAAGCUGCGGCAGCGACGCUUAUGCGUUGUUGGGUAGGGGAGCGUUCUGUAAGCCUGUGAAGGUGUACUGUGAGGUAUGCUGGAGGUAUCAGAAGUGCGAAUGCUGACAUAAGUAACGAUAAAGCGGGUGAAAAGCCCGCUCGCCGGAAGAC